This 1739-nucleotide long non-coding RNA is filed under the name Olea europaea (common olive). RNAcentral's name for it is "long non-coding RNA (OEUR_LNC000431)". Lineage: Eukaryota; Viridiplantae; Streptophyta; Magnoliopsida; Lamiales; Oleaceae. The record is from RNAcentral.
CCUCCUUUUAUUAGCUUCAAAAAAUACUAAUAAAACCCAUAAUUUUCAAGUCCAAAUUCAACUCAUAUUUCCAAGAAUUUGAAGGGUUUGCAGAAUCCACAGGAAAGAGCAUAAAGUUUGAAUCUUUACAAAGAUCUAAGGUGAUUUUUAGUGGAAACACACCAAGUUUUAGUGAAGAAAGAAAUUGAGAUUUUUCACCUGAGGUCAUAAUAUUAGAUGAUGGUGCUUGAGUAUUUGGUAUACUUCAAUCCUAACUUCCACAUUGAUGGUGCUUGAGUAUUUGGUAUACUUCAAUCCUAACUUCCACAUAUGUUUGGAUUGCAAACCACGAAAACCCAUCAAGAAUUUGGCAACAGCUCAGCGAACGGAUUUCAGAAGGAAUAGAAUUCCUAAAUCCACAAGGGGGGAACAUAUUUUUGGAUUGCAAACCACGAAAACCCAUCAAGAAUUUGGCAACAGCUCAGCGAACGGAUUUCAGAAGGAAUAGAAUUCCUAAAUCCACAAGGGGGGAACAUAUUUGUUGCUUUUGAAGUUUUAAUGGGCUAGGGUUUAAUUGCACCCAUCAACAAGCAUACAGAAAGUCUUAAUUUUCAACUUUGGUUGGGGAGGUGAUGGAGGGAGAAGUGGUGGCGCCGAUGGCGGUGGUAAUGAUUGCUGUAGCGGUGGUGGUCAGUUUUGGUUGGGGUGGGGUCAUUUGGGGCUGGGUUUGAGGAGACGAUUUUAUUUUUUUCUUCAUUUUCUGUGUUUAAUUAUUUGUGUUAUUGAAAUUGUAAAUAUACCAUUUUACCCCUUCUUUGAUUUGUCUAUUUGAGUCAAAAUUACAAUUUUAUUGUUGACUAACGGCAUUAGAGACGUAAUCAUUGAUUUGGGCCACAGCUGCAGUUAAAUAUAAAGGUUUGGGAUUACAGUCGCAAAAAUAAAAUAUUAAGGUAUAAUUUGCAGUAAAAUGAAAGAUUUGGGGGACCUUUGCUGCAAUUUUCUCUAAACAAGUAUUGAUUUCAAUCAAGUUGCAUUAUGAUUUCGAUCAAGUUGCAUUAACCUUGACAUUCUUAUGAGGUGGCAUUUUUUACACAUUGAUCUUCACAACACUUUAAACAAUUAAUAAUACAGAAUGAUUUAUUAUUAUUUUUUUUUUGUUUUUUUUGGGUGAAAAAUGAGGUUCAAAUAGGGGCUCAAAUAAAAAUCAAAAUUUUAAUAGAUUUUGAUAAAAUAUUAUGCCCACGUUUGGCAACCAUUAUUUGAAAACUAUUCAAAUUUUUUACAUACUCAUUUUCAAUUACACAUUUAUACAAUAAAAUAUUUUGUGUGUUAGGAAAGAGCAUAAAGUUAGAAUCUUUACAAAGAUCUAAGGUGAUUUUUAGUGGAAACACACCAAGUUUUAGUGAAGAAAGAAAUUGAGAUUUUUCACCUGAGGUCAUAAUAUUAGAUGAUGGUGCUUGAGUAUUUGGUAUACUUCAAUCCUAACUUCCACAUAUGUUUGAAUUGCAAACCACGAAAACCCAUCAAGAAUUUGGCAACAGCUCAGUGAACGGAUUUCAGAAGGACUAGAAUUCCUAAAUCACAAGGGGGGAACAUAUUGGUUGCUUUUGAAGUUUUAAUGGGCUAGGGUUUAAUUGCACCCAUCAACAAGCAUACAGAAAGUCUUAAUUUUCAACUUUGGUUGGGGAGGUGAUGGAGGGAGAGGUGGUGGCGCCGAUGGCGGUGGUAAUGAUUGCUGUAGCGGUGGUGGUCAGUUUUGG